ACAAAAGUGACGAGAUGAAAAGUUUUCCCGAUCAGCCAAAGUGCGGAGAAAUUACACGUGAAAGAGGAGUUCGGAAACAGGAAAACAGAGACAAGACAGGUGGGCAAGAUAGUUUGAUAGCAAACUUUGUAUCAUGUUCUCAAUCAGGACAAGUGUAAUGUUUCUUCAAGUCGGCAAGAUAUUUGAAUAGUUGAGUAAGGUGAAAACUCAAUAGUUUAGUGGAAAGUCUAGAUAGCUUAAUAAGGUGCUACCUAAACCGCCCACCAAGUUAUAUGAAUUUUUCAUAAAUCUUACUAAAUUAUUUAAACUUUUCAUUGAGCUAUAUGUGUUCUCCAUGUACUUUAGUGAGUUAUCAGACCUUUUUACCGAGCUAUUUAAGUUCUCCAUGCACUCUACGGGGUUAUCUGAAUUUUUUAUCGAGCUAUUCAGAUGACUUCCUAACCUGAAACAUAAUACAAGUAUUUUACUGACCUUACCAAAGUGGUAUAUGACACACGUUGGACAUUAAGCUAUCUUGUCAACCUGGAGACAAAUAGUUUGUCACAUUAAAAAAAAAUUAAAUAGAAUAAAGUUUGAAAGAAUAACAAAAUGUUUAGGGAUAAAAACACCAUUAAUCCUCUAAAAAUUCAAAAGAUGUAACUACUUUUUUAACCCUUCUUUGUUCAACAUUAGAGUGGCGAAGAAUAUUUGAAUGUUGAAACGCAAUAAAGUGAGAGUGUGGUUGUAGGUGCACGCCCUUGUCCCCCUAGUGCCCUGUACUUCCCAGGAUACAGACAUAUGCUCAUGCCAAUGCUACACAAAUUCAAGAUUCAUGGAGAAAAUAGCUCCCUUUUCUCGUAGGAUUCUCUUCUUAACCUACCACUAUUCGUGUAAGGGACCCCUACCCACACUCGUUUAUAAAGAACUAUCUUCUAUCAAUAUACAUCACCACUUUUAUUUCUUUA
Molecule: long non-coding RNA, 944 nt
Organism: Vigna angularis (adzuki bean)
Lineage: Eukaryota; Viridiplantae; Streptophyta; Magnoliopsida; Fabales; Fabaceae
Exons: 2
Source: RefSeq, a predicted model, not a curated record